GGAUUAGGCAUGCAAGUCGAACGCUUUAUGUAGCAGUACAUGAAGAGUGGCGUAAGGGAGAGGAAUACAUGGUUAGCUACCCUUGGGACUGGGACAGCGGCGGGAAACUGCCGGUAAUACCAGAUGACGUCUUCGGACCAAACGUGUGAACCGGCCCGAGGAGGCGACCAUGUCCUAUCAGCUUGUUGGCGGGGUAACGGCCCACCAAGGCAAAGACGGGUAUGGGGCGUGAGAGCGUGCCCCCACUCACUGGGACUGAGACACUGCCCAGACACCUACGGGUGGCUGCAGUCGAGAAUCUUCGGCAAUGGGCGCAAGCCUGACCGAGCGACGCCGCGUGCGGGAUGAAGGCCUUCGGGUUGUAAACCGCUGUCAGUGGGGAGCAAAUGCAUCAGGGUUCUCCCUGGUGUUUGAGCGAUCCGCAGAGGAAGCACAGGCUAAUUCCGUGCCAGCAGCCGCGGUAAUACGGAAUGUGCAAACGUUAUUCGGAAUCACUGGGCUUAAAGAGUCCGUAGGCGGCUUGUUAGGUGAGGUGUGAAAUCCCCCGGCUCAACCGAGGAAUUGCGCUUCAAACCGGCGAGCUUGAGGAAGGUAGAGGUGGGCGGAACUGAUGGUGGAGCGGUGAAAUGCGUUGAUAUCAUCAGGAACACCGGAGGCGAAGGCGGCCCACUGGGUCUUUUCUGACGCUGAGGGACGAAAGCUAGGGUAGCGAACGGGAUUAGAUACCCCGGUAGUCCUAGCCUUAAACGAUGAGCACUAGACCGAAGAACUUCCACAGUUUUUUGGUCGUAGCGAAAGUGUUAAGUGCUCCGCCUGGGGAGUAUGGUCGCAAGGC
Molecule: ribosomal RNA, 835 nt
Filed under: uncultured planctomycete clone30
Lineage: Bacteria; Pseudomonadati; Planctomycetota; Planctomycetia; Planctomycetales
Description: bacterial SSU rRNA
Rfam family: Bacterial small subunit ribosomal RNA
Source: RNAcentral